This is a long non-coding RNA of Halichondria panicea, 912 nucleotides long. RefSeq lists it as uncharacterized. The transcript is spliced from 2 exons. The record is from RefSeq and is a predicted model, not a curated record. NCBI's taxonomy places the organism in Eukaryota, Metazoa, Porifera, Demospongiae, Suberitida, Halichondriidae.
GCGGCCUGGUAUACACUGUUUACACAUGCGCCAGAAUUACCAAGAAUCUUGGUAAUCGUAAAUUGCAGUAUAUUUAUCAGUAUUCUUAUUCCGCAUUAGUUUGUAAAACAUUGAUAUCCGUUUCAUUUAUAAUGAUGUCAUUGAAAAAAGAAAUCUAGUCCAAGUUGUGUAAUGGCUGCUACCUUCUCUUCUGCUCUUGUGUACGCGUUAUCCUGUGUUGGAAUACCAGGUCUAGUCUUGAAAGACAAGCAGCUGGAGGCGUUGAAGUGUCUGUACGCUGGUGUUUAUGUGGGUACCGUACCGACCGGCUAUGGCAAGUACGUCCUAGUCCCAGAGCAAGUCCAUCUGCUUUCCAGACACUCCCUUUCUUGAUUGAUGUGAAGCUUGACAGGACCAGUGCACCUCUCUCUGAAAGAAGUGUUGUGAUGGUGAUUUCUCCUCUUGUUUCUCUGAGUGAAGCCAUCUUCAAAGUGUUGGUGUGUCUGUUCGACGUUCAGUGCCAUUCUCUCUGGAAGGAAGUAUUGUUGUGACAUUUGCCGAAAAUUGGUCACAGAGUAAGUACGUGGUAUCUGAUCCGAGAACUGUGUGGCCUGUUACAAUCCGAGGGACUUGUGUGUAUCCGAUCCGAGGGACUUGUUGCUUGAGUGUGUAUUCGGACUUGUUGCUUGAGUGUGUAUUAAUGGAUAGUGCUUUCAAUGGUUUAACUAAUUUCUUAUGAGAUUAACUUGUCGCCUGAGUGUGUAUCCGAUCCAAGCCUCAAGUUAAUGAAUAAAUCUACAGAGCUGAUGUUUUAUCUAGCUGUCUCUGUCUACAGUAUAUGCAGAGAGGUAGCCUCUUCUUUUUCUUUUUUUUAUCACAAUAAGAUAAAAUACUGUUUUAACGUUCAAUGAGAUAAAUACGGUAAAUAAUAAA